AACGAACGCUGGCGGCGUGGCUAAGACAUGCAAGUCGAACGGAGUUCCCAAUUGAGUAAUCGAGAAGGAACUUAGUGGCGAAAGGGUGAGUAAUGCAUAGGUAACGUACCCCGGACAUUGGGAUAGCGGCGGUCUUCGGACCUUUAGCGAAAGUGCCGGUAAUACCAGAUGAUAUCUCGAGAUCGCAUGGUUUUGAGAUCAAAGGUUUCGGCCGGUCUGGGAGCGGCCUAUGUCGUAUCAGCUUGUUGGUGAGGUAACGGCUCACCAAGGCAGCGACGCGUACCGGGACUGAGAGGUUGGCCCGGCACAUCGGGACUGAGACACUGCCCGGACCUCCACGGAGGGCUGCAGUAACGGAUCUUGCGCAAUGGGCGAAAGCCUGACGCAGCGACGCCGCGUAUAGGAUGAAGCCCCUCGGGGUGUAAACUAUUGUCAGGGUGAAGAAAGGUCACUUCGGUGGCUUGAUCGAUCCCAGAGGAAGACCGCU
Molecule: ribosomal RNA, 487 nt
Filed under: uncultured bacterium
Lineage: Bacteria
Description: bacterial SSU rRNA
Rfam family: Bacterial small subunit ribosomal RNA
Source: RNAcentral